CCUACGGGAGGCAGCAGUGAGGAAUAUUGGUCAAUGGCCGUAAGGCUGAACCAGCCAAGUCGCGUGAAGGAAGAAGGAUCUAUGGUUUGUAAACUUCUUUUAUAGGGGAAUAAAGGUAUCCACGUGUGGAUAUUUGCAUGUACCCUAUGAAUAAGCAUCAGCUAACUCCGUGCCAGCAGCCGCGGUAAUACGGAGGAUGCGAGCGUUAUCCGGAUUUAUUGGGUUUAAAGGGUGCGUAGGUUGUUUUUUAAGUCAGCGGUGAAAGUUUGUGGCUCAACCAUAAAAUUGCCGUUGAAACUGGAAGACGUGAGUGUGUUUGAGGUAGGCGGAAUGCGUGGUGUAGCGGUGAAAUGCAUAGAUAUCACGCAGAACUCCGAUUGCGAAGGCAGCUUACUAAGCCAUAACUGACACUGAAGCACGAAAGCGUGGGGAUCAAACAGGAUUAGAUACCCCGGUAGUC
Molecule: ribosomal RNA, 460 nt
Filed under: uncultured bacterium
Lineage: Bacteria
Description: partial 16S ribosomal RNA
Rfam family: Bacterial small subunit ribosomal RNA
Source: RNAcentral